This 447-nucleotide ribosomal RNA is filed under the name uncultured bacterium. RNAcentral's name for it is "partial 16S ribosomal RNA". It matches the Rfam family "Bacterial small subunit ribosomal RNA", at positions 330 to 793 of the family's 1533-position model. The record is from RNAcentral.
UCCAGACUCCUACGGGAGGCAGCAGUGGGGGAUAUUGCACAAUGGGGGGAACCCUGAUGCAGCGACGCCGCGUGGGUGAAGGAGCGUUUCGGCGCGUAAAGCCCUAUCGGCAGGGAAGAAGGAGGACGGUACCUGACUAAGAAGCCCCGGCUAACUACGUGCCAGCAGCCGCGGUAAUACGUAAGGGGCAAGCGUUAUCCGGAUUUACUGGGUGUAAAGGGGGCGCAGACGGCAGCGCAAGCCAGGAGUGAAAGCCCGGGGCCCAACCCCGGGACUGCUCUUGGAACUGCGCGGCUGGAGUGCAGGAGGGGCAGGCGGAAUUCCUGGUGUAGCGGUGAAAUGCGUAGAUAUCAGGAGGAACACCGGUGGCGAAGGCGGCCUGCUGGACUGCGACUGACGUUGAGGCCCGAAAGCGUGGGGAGCAAACAGGAUUAGAUACCCUCGUAA